CCGUCCUUAGCUCAACUGGAUAGAGCAGCUGACUUCUAAUCAGCAGGUUUGAGGUUCGAGUCCUCAAGGACGGACCA
RNAcentral lists this transfer RNA (77 nucleotides) under bacterium. Its description in RNAcentral is "tRNA-Arg". It matches the Rfam family "tRNA". Rfam says of the family: Transfer RNA (tRNA) molecules are approximately 80 nucleotides in length. Their secondary structure includes four short double-helical elements and three loops (D, anti-codon, and T loops). Further hydrogen bonds mediate the characteristic L-shaped molecular structure. tRNAs have two regions of fundamental functional importance: the anti-codon, which is responsible for specific mRNA codon recognition, and the 3' end, to which the tRNAs corresponding amino acid is attached (by aminoacyl-tRNA synthetases). tRNAs cope with the degeneracy of the genetic code in two manners: having more than one tRNA (with a specific anti-codon) for a particular amino acid; and 'wobble' base-pairing, i.e. permitting non-standard base-pairing at the 3rd anti-codon position. The record is from RNAcentral.